UGCCAGCAGCCGCGGUAAUACGGAGGGUGCGAGCGUUAAUCGGAAUUACUGGGCGUAAAGCGCGCGUAGGCGGCUUCGUCAGUCAGAUGUGAAAGCCCCGGGCUCAACCUGGGAACUGCAUUUGAUACUGCGGAGCUAGAGUAUGGUAGAGGAUAGUGGAAUUCCAGGUGUAGCGGUGAAAUGCGUAGAUAUCUGGAGGAACAUCAGUGGCGAAGGCGACUGUCUGGACCAAUACUGACGCUGAGGUGCGAAAGCGUGGGGAGCAAACAGGAUUAGAUA
RNAcentral lists this ribosomal RNA (279 nucleotides) under uncultured bacterium. Its description in RNAcentral is "partial 16S ribosomal RNA". It matches the Rfam family "Bacterial small subunit ribosomal RNA", at positions 506 to 784 of the family's 1533-position model. The record is from RNAcentral.